RNAcentral lists this ribosomal RNA (253 nucleotides) under uncultured bacterium. RNAcentral's name for it is "partial 16S ribosomal RNA". It matches the Rfam family "Bacterial small subunit ribosomal RNA", at positions 524 to 776 of the family's 1533-position model. The record is from RNAcentral. RNAcentral also lists the same sequence under 2 other names.
UACAGAGGGUGCGAGCGUUAAUCGGAUUUACUGGGCGUAAAGGGCGCGUAGGUGGUAAAGCAAGUAAGAUGUGAAAGCCCUGGGCUUAACCUGGGAAGUGCAUCUUAAACUGCUUAACUAGAGUAUGGUAGAGGGUAGUGGAAUUUCCGGUGUAGCGGUGAAAUGCGUAGAGAUCGGAAGGAACGCCAGUGGUGAAGACGACUACCUGGACCAAUACUGACACUGAGGCGCGAAAGCGUGGGGAUCAAACAGG